RNAcentral lists this ribosomal RNA (254 nucleotides) under uncultured bacterium. Its description in RNAcentral is "partial 16S ribosomal RNA". It matches the Rfam family "Bacterial small subunit ribosomal RNA", at positions 524 to 776 of the family's 1533-position model. The record is from RNAcentral.
UACGGGGGGUGCAAGCGUUGCUCGGAAUUAUUUGGGCGUAAAGGGCAGGUAGGUGGUCUCGUUUGUCUGGGGUGAAAGCCUUGAGCUUAACUCAAGAAGUGCCUCGGAAACGGUGAGACUGGAGGCUUGGAGAGGGUCGCGGAAUUCCCGGUGUAGCGGUGAAAUGCGUAGAGAUCGGGAGGAACAUCCGUGGCGAAGGCGACUACCUGGACCAGCACUGACACUGAGGCACGAAAGCGUGGGGAGCAAACAGG